CCUUACUUCUCUCCAAUAUUUGAGCAUGCAUUCUUGUGAUGAUCUGCUCUACUGGCCGGAGGCAGAGUUCCGUGGCUUGAAAUCACUGAAGACGAUAUAUAUCUGGCAUUGCAAUAAGUUGGUUGGCACGUCACCUUUGCCAUUAUCCUCGUCAUCAUCAAGGGAUGGAGAGCUCCUACCAAACCUGAAAGAGCUGACUAUUGAUCAUUGUGAUGGUCUGCUGGAAUUGCCCAAGUUACCUGCUUUCCUCAAAGAACUCUAUGUUGGCUGGUGCCCCAAACUAAAUUCCUUGACAGAAGGCCUGCGACAUGCCACUUCUCUUAAGGAUGUCCGUAUUGUCGGUUGCCCAAGUCUGACUUCUCUACCGGUAGAUCUGGGGCACCAAACAGCGCUCGAGAUUCUGGUCAUUAACAGUUGCAGCAAAUUGCCAUCUCUGCCAGAAAGGAUGCAGGGCCACACUGCCCUUUGGUAUCUGUCUAUUGGGCAAUGCCCUCUGCUUUCAUCACUCCCAGAAGGUAUGCAGGGCCUCACUGCCCUUCAGCGUUUGUCUAUUACGCAAUGCCCUCUGCUUUCAUCACUCCCAGAAGGUCUACAACAACGACUCCCCGGCCUUCAGUAUCUUGAGAUUGAAGGGUGCCCCGACCUGGAGAGACUGUGUAAGAGAGGAGGACCGUAUUGGGACCUCAUCUCACACAUCCCCAGGACUGAAAUAUUAUCUGAGAGGAGGAGCAACUUCAGCACAUUCCUUCCUUCCAUUUCUUGCUUUAGAAGACCAUCUACAGUUUAAUGUCAUCCCAAUCCUUUCGAGGUACAGUCCCAUCUCUCUCUCUCAAAUGAAAUGGAAAUUAGCGAGUACAAUUAUUUAUGUUCCUUCACAUGCUUGUUCCUGCUGAGGGAAUCUAGUGGCAAGUUUUAGAUCAGUUUGUUCAUGCUCGCCUAAGCAGUUCCUAAAGGGAAUCAAUGGCAUCUUCCUGAGAUGGUAGCCACACUACACUGUUCACAUAAACUAUUAUGAACUAAUUCAUGAUUCUCACAAGUAUUUUGCAGGGAUAAGAGGUCAAGUGGGAGCUGGAGGGAUACAUAUUGGAAUAUUUUAUUCAGCUUUUCUCAUCUUAUUUUUCUCUUGCUAUGUUAGAUGAGCAGCAAAUUUAGCUUCAGGAUGAAUCAAGAGCAUUCAUGGGACGCUAGGAAGAGAGAAGCUUAAUUCCCUUUCAGAAGAUGUUAUUUGGCGUUUAAUGUUAUGCUGAUUGUUUACUCUGAACCUUAUUUCAUUUCAUGUCCUUCAAUAUAUAAAUAUUGUAUUUGAAGAUUUUGGACAGUACUUCUGCUUUAUGAACCAAAAAUAAGUGAAAGAUAGUGAUGUUCAUUAAUUAUUUGAACAUCCACUUUGGUUUCUCUAAACAUUUUUAAGUAGCAUCAUACAACAGCUAUUUGAU
Molecule: non-coding RNA, 1436 nt
Organism: Phoenix dactylifera (date palm)
Lineage: Eukaryota; Viridiplantae; Streptophyta; Magnoliopsida; Arecales; Arecaceae
Source: RefSeq, a predicted model, not a curated record